UGAAGACAUUUUCUAUGAUGGCUCAUU
RNAcentral lists this non-coding RNA (27 nucleotides) under Rattus norvegicus (Norway rat). Lineage: Eukaryota; Metazoa; Chordata; Mammalia; Rodentia; Muridae. The record is from RNAcentral.